AUGUUCAUCCCGCUUCCUAGCGAAUCAGAGAAUGGGGCCCCGGCCCCGGCCCAGGACGCGGCGCCUCAAGAGAGCGCGGAGCAGGGCGCGAACCAGGGGCAGCGCCGCCAGGAGCCUCUCGCUGACCAGCUGCACUCGGGGAUUUCGGGACGUCCCGCGGCCGGCACCGCGGCCGCCAGCGCCAACGGCGCGGCGAUCAAGAAGCUGUCCGGGCCUCUGAUCUCCGAUUUCUUUGCCAAGCGCAAGAGAUCAGCGCCUGAGAAGUCGUCGGGCGAUGUCCCCGCGCCGUGUCCCUCUCCCAGCGCUGCCCCUGGAGUGGGUUUGGUGGAGCAGACCCCGCGCAAGAGGCUGCGGUGAGCGAAUUUAGAGCCCAAAGAGCCCCGAGGGAACCUGCCGCGGCAGCGGACGUUGGAAGGGCGCUGGGCCUCGGCUGGGACCGUUCAUGUAGCAGCAACCGGCGGCGGCUGCCGCAGAGCAGCGUUCGGUUUUGUGUUUAAAUUUUGAAAACUGUGCAAUGUAUUAAUAACGUCUUUUUAUAUCUAAAUGUAUUCUGCACGAGAAGGUACACUGGUCCCAAGGUGUAAAGCUUUAAGAGUCAUUUAUAUAAAAUGUUUAAUCUCUGCUGAAACUCAGUGCAAAAAAAAAGAAAAAAGAAAAAA
This is an RNA transcript of Rhinopithecus roxellana (golden snub-nosed monkey), 659 nucleotides long. It is a transcript of the gene named cyclin-dependent kinase inhibitor 1C pseudogene, with no coding region annotated. NCBI's taxonomy places the organism in Eukaryota, Metazoa, Chordata, Mammalia, Primates, Cercopithecidae. The transcript has a single exon. The record is from RefSeq and is a predicted model, not a curated record.